UACAGGGGGGGCAAGCGUUGUCCGGAAUUACUGGGCGUAAAGCGCACGUAGGCGGCUUUGUAAGUUAGAGGUGAAAGCCUGGAGCUCAACUCCAGAAUUGCCUUUGAUACUGCAUGGCUUGAAUCCAGGAGAGGUGAGUGGAAUUCCGAGUGUAGAGGUGAAAUUCGUAGAUAUUCGGAAGAACACCAGUGGCGAAGGCGGCUCACUGGACUGGUAUUGACGCUGAGGUGCGAAAGCGUGGGGAGCAAACAGG
RNAcentral lists this ribosomal RNA (253 nucleotides) under uncultured bacterium. Its description in RNAcentral is "partial 16S ribosomal RNA". It matches the Rfam family "Bacterial small subunit ribosomal RNA", at positions 524 to 776 of the family's 1533-position model. The record is from RNAcentral.